Pimephales promelas (fathead minnow) is the source of this 985-nucleotide non-coding RNA. Lineage: Eukaryota; Metazoa; Chordata; Actinopteri; Cypriniformes; Leuciscidae. The record is from RefSeq and is a predicted model, not a curated record.
UCAGCACAUCAUCAUCAUCACACAUCUCAGAGCUGCACUGGAGAUGCCCUCUUUUCUGCUCAUCACAAGAUAAUACAAAGGCAGAAUUUACAAGAAAUAAACAGGAGAGAACACAUAUCAACCAGCACAGACUUAAUGAUUAAUAAUGGACAAGCGAGAAAGAGAAGAAUGGCGAACAAAAAAGGAAAAGAAAUUACGAUCUAAUGAAUCAAAGACAUCGAGUCUAUUCAGACAAAACAGCAUUUAUAGUGGCAAACCAAACUUUUCUGCAGAGUUUCAGACUCACAGGAAGCAGAAAUUCCAUUUGCCUAAACCGCAAAAUAUUCUCCAUCAUGUUUGGUCACUGAUUAAACAAUAAAUUAUCAAGAGAAUACAUAGAUAUUUACAGUAUCUAACUAUUUGAAAGAUAACAAAGUUAUAAGAAAAGAUUUUAAAAAGAAGUGUGUGUGUGUGUACAUAUAUUGCAUUAUGUGAGCAGGGAAUAUGUGACAUGAGCACUAUUGUGUUAUAGCAUUGGUGUAACUGACAAAUAUGAAAAAUUUAAUGAAUUGAAUGUAUAAAGAAUGAAAUAUACAAUAAAAAUAUGUGUAUUGCUAAUGUAUUGAAACAAACUAAUGUAUCAAACAAGAAAAUAUGUUGAAAAUAAAGCAAUUUAUUAAAUAAAGCAAUUGACUCUAGUAAUGUUACAAUUUAGCAACAUGUGCUUAAAUGUAGAGAUAUCGUGCAUAAAUUAGUUAUUUUGAAAAGCAGGUACUUUAGGGCUCUCAGGGUGAGAGAGAGAGAGAGAGAGAAUCCCGAACUCGCAUCUCUCACAGAGGAGCGGGAGCGACGUGGAUGGUCGAGAGGAACAGGCCUUCUUUUGUUCCAAUUUUGUUAUAUUUCCUUUUGGUAUUUAUAUUUUAUUUUUGGUAAACAGCAGUUCCGUGAGGGACUGCUGGCAGGUAUUUUGUUUGUUUAUUUCAUUUAAAUAAAGUUUUAUUUGAUU